This 44-nucleotide small nuclear RNA is filed under the name Eremothecium sinecaudum. RNAcentral describes it as "HGLSNR189". Lineage: Eukaryota; Fungi; Ascomycota; Saccharomycetes; Saccharomycetales; Saccharomycetaceae. The record is from RNAcentral.
UACAUUCCAAGAACAGGUAUUAUUGUAGUGGAUUUGUGACGGUG